Molecule: RNA transcript, 5011 nt
Organism: Microtus ochrogaster (prairie vole)
Lineage: Eukaryota; Metazoa; Chordata; Mammalia; Rodentia; Cricetidae
Gene name: laminin subunit alpha-1-like
Exons: 8
Source: RefSeq, a predicted model, not a curated record
GUAUAAUGUAUAUGUUAACUGUGCUUUAAUCGUAAGUUUUGAGUUGCUGUUAUGAUAAAACACACUUCACCUAAAAGGUAGUUUUUUAACAACUUAGAUGCAAAGUUCAUAGCAUUCAGUACAUUUGUAUUGUUAUAUAUAGUCAUUGCAUACAUACAUCUCCAGAAACUAUGUAAAAUUCAUUUUCCAUCUUAUUACCCCCCUCAAACAUCUUAAAGAAAGAAAAUGAUUUACCCAUCUUCUACAAUGUGUGCUAACAAUCAUUUGGUAAAAGGAAAGUAAAACUGUGGAAACCGUUAUUAAAUCUAUGACUUAAAUUUUAAAAAAACAUAAUCCUACUAAUUAGUGCUUUGAGUUUUUUAAGCUUUUCCAAUUUUUGUUUUAGUAUGUAUUAAGUAUGGUUAAUAUUUACUUAAUCCUUAACCAGAGUAUUUUUAUAAUACUUUAAUAAAUUCCUUCAGAACAGCAUGUAUUUGUAGUAUGUUUUGGUCUGUUGCUUCCUCCAUCCUAGCACAUAACAGACCAACAAGGCAGAGUCCCGUUAAAUAUUUGUGAGGAAAACAAAUGAAGUAACUGGGAAGAAGCUGCAAGGUUGUUGAAAGAUGUUAUUAACAAACCAGUACGAAUUGUCCGAACAGCUGGAGGCAAAUGUGUAAACUGAUCAUUUUCUGUUGCUUGUUUCACUCUCUACUCUCUUGGGGGCUGGCCACCCAGCUCCCAAAUAAGCAUACACCUGGUCUUCUUUCUUAUCAACGCCAGACCUUAGCUUAGCUUCUUUCUAGCUAGCUCUUCUUAAAUCAUCCCGUCUAUCUUUUGCCUCGGGCUUUUACCUUUCUCUAUUUCUGUAUAACUUUUCUUUCAGUCUUACUCCAUGGCUUGCUGUGUAGCAGGGUUACUGGCCCCUGAUGUCUUCCUCUCCUUGGUCUCUUGUGUCCUUCUUUUCCCUCCAGAUUUCUCCUUCUCUUUAUUCUCUUAGUCUGCCAGCCCCUCCUAUCCUUUCUCCCGCCUCUCUGUUGGCCAUUCAGCUUUUUAUUAGGCCAUCAAGUUUUUUAGACAGGCCAAGAAUCACAACUUCACAGAGUUAACAAAUGCAACAUAAAAGAAUGCAACACAUCUUUGCACCAAAUUAUAUAUGAUUGUAUUUACUAUGUUUAAUAUAAGUAGUUCUGCUCAUUUAUGUGUAUUUUCCUCCAGCAACGUUUGUUUGUAAAUAGCAGAAUUAUACACCAUUCAUUAAUAAUCUUCAGCAAGUUGGUGUAUGAGGAACUCAUUUUCCUCUCCACAAAAGUGAACUAGGUGCUUUUCUAGUUUUGUGUACGUGUGUGCAUGCAUACGUAUAUUGUGUGGUUGGUUGUGCUCAUGUGGAGACCAGAGGGUAAUGUUAGGAAUCUUUCUUCACCACUCUCCACUUGUUUUUUGAGACAGGGUCUCCCUCUAAAACUAAAGCCAACCAUUGUGUCUAGCUUCCAGGACCCUCCUUUCUUCCCUCCUCUAAUCUACCAACUCUGGGGUUAGAGACACAAGCAGCCAUUCCCAGGUCCGGGCGGGGGCUGGAGGUGGGUGUCCCUACUAGCGCCAGGCUGCCGUGGGGGGGGGGGGAGAGGAGAGGGCGGCUUUUAGCCGCCGAGGCAGGCAAGGUGGGCGGGCAAGCCUUGCACUGCUGGCCGCUGGUAUGAGCUCGGAACCCAGCGUGCGAGCCCAGGCCACCUCCAUCCCCGCAGCCUCCAGGUCCCCGCCCCCGUUGCCCCCGCUCCGCUCCCGGCAUCGGAGACCGUGGAUAAAUCGGAGAGGCGAGCGCGGGGAGACAGAGCGCGCGGGCGCCGGCAGCAGGCUGGCCGAGCCCCUUUUCCACGGUCGCGCUUGAAGGUGGCGCAGUCUAGGCAGCCUAGGCAUGGAGCAGUCACCAUGCGCUAGAGAGUCCGCCAGCCAGUGCCCUGCCUGCCUCUUCCCGUGCGCCCUCCCGCAGAUGUCGGCGCCCUGGAUUGGUCCCCUGGCCUCUGCCUGCAGCCCUGCCACAACCUCUAGGCCGGCCAGGAGGGCACUGAUCUCCGUUAGCGAAGAUGGCUCGUGGCUGCCUGCUGGCCUUGACUCUCACACUUUUCCAGUCUUGCCUGACCGACCCCUCGAGCCAGGAGCCCUUCCCUUCGGCCGUCAGCCUUGAUGAUGAGUAUGUGGGCCCCUUGCUGAAUGACCUGGAUACUAUUGGCAACGCCGUUCUGUCUCCGAACCUCACUGGCGUCUCUUCUGCUCCUUAUGGGAUCUUGUCAAGUCUGGAAAACACAACUAAAUAUUUCCAGAGGUAUUUAUUAAAAGAAAAUGCUAAGAAGAUUCGGGCAGAAAUGCAGCUUGAAGGUGUUGCACAACAAACAGAAAACCUGCAAAAGGAGAUCACUAGAGUCUUAGCAAGCAGUCAGCAGGUGAAUAAAGCAACGACAAGAACUGUCAAUGGGACUCAAGCCCUGGCCACGUUCAUUGAGCAGCUGCAUGCCAACAUCAAAGACAUCAUGGAAAAGGUGGCAGCGUUGAAUGAGACCACACGUGGGGACGUCCAGCCACCCAUUUCUGCUCUUCAGAGCAUGCACCAGAACAUUUCUUCUCUGUUGGAACUUACAAAGAAAAGGAAUUUCACAGAGUGGCACCAAAAUGCUACCCUUGAACUCAAGGCUGCUAGAGUUAUUGUCACGAAUUCAGAAGAGGUUCCAGAAGCCCCAGGAAAAGCUGAAGGCAUUGAAGGAGUCAGCCGGUGGCCUCCUUUCAAACCACAGCGAAGAACUGCAGGCUGCAGAGGAGCUCCUGAGGGAAACUGAGACCAAGACCCAGGAGAGCAACCGCCUGCUGCUCCUCGUCAAGGCCAACCUGAGAGAGUUCAGUCCAACAACCCAAGUUUGGAAAAGCUGUUUCCUAUGAAAAACUGGAGAAACUAGGAGAAGGACUUUAUGCAACAGUCUGAAAAGGGAAAAGCAAGUAAGUUAAAUAUUUUAAAGAACAAGUCAAGGGAGAGAGAGAGAGGGCAGCUGAGGCCCUGGAGUCAGAAUGGCAGCAGCGGGAUCGCGCCUGGGUCCCACGCACCAGGCCUUGGGCCAGAGGAGUCAGUGGCUCUGGUGCUGCAUCGCGCCUCAGGCUGGGAAGUUGUCGCGCCUCAGGCUGGGAAGUUGUCGCUCAAGUCUUCCCCUGCCACCUGUGCUGCGGCCUCGUGGCCCUGCCUUACAGAGGAGGGCAGAUGAGCCUGCCCUUGUCUGGGCUGCGCUCUGGACCACUUUCACAAAGUUGACUGGACCCAGCGCCACCCAGAUGUAUGACCUCAUUGAGCCGCAGCCAAGCCAGAAGAUCCGCAGGAUGAAGAACUUUGUCAGAGAGUUUCAGCAGCAUUGAAAAAGCAAAAGCAAAAAGGAGCAUCCAGUUCCUGAACAGCCCGCUGAGGAGAUCGGCUUCUUCGCAGCGGCCCAUAGGGAACGUCUGUGCACAGGAACCUGAACCGACGAGCAGAAGGUUGGCCUUUCCCUGUCUCUGUAAUUCCUUAAACGUAGCAUUGCACAUGUCAAAUUUUCUGUCUUAGAAUUCUUCUUUACCUAUGGUGAAGUCUACAAAUGAUGGAAUUUGUUGGUACCCACAUCACAGUCCCUAGGAGAAGGUGGAGAAAUGCACAGGACCGCAUGCUGCCACUUGGACACGCUCUAUUGCAGCAUCAGGAAGCAUUUGACAGCAGAACUGCUUUUGCAGUUAGAAUAAUGAAUGGCCUGUUCAGUUUAGGUAUUCCUCCCAUUUUAAGUAGAAUACGUAAUUAUACCAUAGAAAUAUGAUUUUAAAAGGACUCAGAUCUAGAAACACUGUUUUUAAACCCAGCGUUCGAGAACAGUGUGCACAGCACUUAAUUGGCAGGAGUACGCAGUGUUCCUGCUCGGAAGGACUCUUCGGACUGUGCUGGACUCAAACCCAUGUUUCCCCUCAGUGGCACACCAUUCUACAGCAAACGUUUUUAUUCUUCUGUUUGCCAGGCUAAUAUGUGUUUGCAAAAUUCAUGUGACAUAAGAAUAUAAGUAGCAAAGGAGAAAGGAUUCAGAAGUUCCUCUCUGCCUACUUCACAAACGAUGACCGAGCUGGGAGUGUGCAGGGGUAGAGUGUCCCCUAUCAUGCACGGGGUUCUGGGUUCCGUGCAAGGCACUGAAUAGAAAUUAAACAGAAGUAAAAGUAAUGGCUUCCAAGCAAAUAUGAAUAAGUUUUAUAGAUAGUAGAAAUUCUGUGGGAUUUUAAGUGUUUCCAUAUGUCAUUAUUUCAAAAGAUGACAUUACACAAAGUUUAAUGUUUUGUUUGGGAUCACUUGUGACUCAUCAUUGGAGAGCCGCUCCAGAGACAGCUGUGUGAUCUGUGAGGUCUGUCCUUAUAAUUGAGCCCUUCCAGAGAUAGCGUGUGAUUUGUGAGGUCUGUCCUUAUAAUUGAGCAGUAAAGCCCAAAAUGCCUGCCAAGUAUUUCCUCUGUCUUUAGGGCGAGUGACACAAGUAAGAAACAAAGAAGUUGCUGACAGAGGAAAAUGACACAAAAGAACCAGGACAUUUCUUUAUUAGUACCAGAUGGAAGGAGCCAGGCAGAGAGGAAAGGCUGCUGGUGGAGGCUUCCCUGGACAACAGCAGUGUGGAGGAAAGAGAAUAUUUACCAAUUGUAAAAGCCACCCUAUUGGCAAGAAUGAAGUAACUAUCCAGGGACAGCACAAGAAAAUACAGUAGCAUGCUGGGAAUAUUGUAUGGUGACUAACGUCCUUGGGCUGCCCAGGAUCUUAAAAUUCUCGGCAGCGCGCACCACGUUCCUCUCACUUCUGCCCUACACUGCCAUCUAGUGGACGAUGGUCUGCCCGUUCCUUGGCGAAUCUGCUUCAGAGGAUGUGAUUGAUGGUCUGGGCUUAGGAACUGAGGUUCUGUCAUUUGAGACACAACAAUCUGUGUUGUGAGACGGCCACUUGUUGGUUCCCAGCUGCUCAGCCCUGAAAACCACACAAACUAUAUUAUUAAAAUCACUG